GUAUCCUACGGGAGGCAGCAGUGGGGAAUAUUGCACAAUGGGGGAAACCCUGAUGCAGCGACGCCGCGUGAGUGAAGAAGUAUCUCGGUAUGUAAAGCUCUAUCAGCAGGAAAGAUAAUGACGGUACCUGACUAAGAAGCCCCGGCUAACUACGUGCCAGCAGCCGCGGUAAUACGUAAGGGGCAAGCGUUAUCCGGAUUUACUGGGUGUAAAGGGAGCGUAGACGGCAGCGCAAGUCUGGAGUGAAAUGCCGGGGCCCAACCCCGGAACUGCUUUGGAAACUGUAUGGCUGGAGUGCUGGAGAG
Molecule: ribosomal RNA, 305 nt
Filed under: uncultured bacterium
Lineage: Bacteria
Description: bacterial SSU rRNA
Rfam family: Bacterial small subunit ribosomal RNA
Source: RNAcentral